Molecule: non-coding RNA, 806 nt
Organism: Salvelinus sp. IW2-2015
Lineage: Eukaryota; Metazoa; Chordata; Actinopteri; Salmoniformes; Salmonidae
Source: RefSeq, a predicted model, not a curated record
UCUAACCACUAGGCUACCUGCCGCCCUGACUGUGUGUGUGUGUGCGUGCGUGCGCGCUCAAAUGAUCCUAACAUGACCCCUAACCUGUGGUCUGCUCUGUUGUGGUCUCUGUUUGAUGAUGUCAGAUCCUGGACUCGGAGCUGUUUGAGCUGAUGCAUCAGAAUGGAGACUACACCCACUUCUAUUUCUGUUACCGCUGGUUCCUGUUGGACUUCAAAAGAGAGCUGCUGUACCAGGAUGUGUUCUCAGUAUGGAGGUGAUCUGGGCGGCCCCUCAUAUCUCUCUCCAGCACUUCAUCCUGUUCCUGGCCCUGGCUCUUGUAGAGGUCUACAGAGAGAUCAUCAGAGACAAUACCAUGGACUUCACUGACAUCAUCACCUUCUUCAAACGAGAUGGCAGAACGUCAUGACGUACAGCACAUCCUUCAGAUCGCCAGAGAGCUGGUGCGCAAGGUCCAGUCUCUCAUCGAGAACAAGUGACGAGAGGAGGACGAAGAGGGCCGGGGGAGGAGAGGUAGAGAGGAGCAGAUACCAUCACUGCACCCCUCCACCCGCCCAUCCAUCCUCUGCAUCCAGCACAGCUCCCUCCCUCUCUUACCCCUCUUUACCCCUCCCAAACCUGUGGAAGAGACAGACGUGGGCCCUCUAUCCCUCCAGCCGGACCAGUGAAGGAUGAAGGCUCCAGGUUGACCAUCCUAGCCUGGAUGAAGGCUCCAGGUUGACCAUCCUAGCCUGGAUGAAGGCUCCAGGUUGACCAUCCUAGCCUGGAUGAAGGCUCCAGGUUGACCAUCCUAGCCUGGAUGAAGG